AAAGACUGCGUAUUUCUCCGAGUGAUAGGCUCCAUUUGCAUGCGUGGUGCAGACAUUUUGCAGAGCAUCAGGGUUCCCAGGCCUCCGAUUUGUAAAGGAUUGUCAGGCCACCCCUUUCCUCGUUCACGUGGAGAGUGCCUAAGAGGAUUUAGAAUCAAGUGGGCACAUUUGCACGGCCUUGUUCUGAAGAGGCAGCUGGAGCUGGGCCGCCGACCUGGCGCAGACGACCGCGGGUCCCGGGGGACGCAUUGUCCUCCGAGGGGCCGCCACGGGGACUCCAUUGUGCGCGGGGCAGGCCUUUCUCUCCUGCCCUCUGUCUCCCCCGGGCCUCCUCCCCACCCCCCACGCAGACUUUUCUCUCUAGCUGCCCGGAUUCCCCCCGCUGCCGCAUUUCCCAUGCAGAGGCGCGGGCAGGGCUCGGCUGGCCAUCUGCACGCGGAGAUUGACAGCAGCCCCGGAAGCUUAAUUUGACCCUGGGAAAAAAAUCAAUACUGGAUUUUGAGAGAAGACAAUUUUUUCAGGUGCUGUAUAUUAGACCACAGCAUAAAAGAAAGCUGCUUCUGGAAAUUCAAAGGUGCUCUGGAAACGAUACACACCUCUAUGUUAUGGAUUAAGUGGGCUUUUGUGGGCUGGUCUGGGAGCUAGACCACCACAUGCAAUGGUUUCUAUGGGAAAUUAGUCCCCACUGAGAAGCUGGAUGUGAACACUGCUGCCAAAGAAGAGAGAAUUUCCUCCCACGGCUUUGAUGAUACCACCCAGAAGAAAGAAGGGACAGCCUUUUUUGUGAAUCACUUCUUUUUCUGCGAAGCUCCUGACAUGCAGGAGAGCAUUAGAAGAAACACACUUGCCACAGGGGUCCUGGAACAACUUGAUUUGGAAGCUGGAGAUGAAUUUCCACAGGCCCAUUACUUGGGAAAACCCCAGAGAGCUGCAGCUAUUAGCAUUCUGCAGUGAAUUGGGCAGCACACACUAAUGGCCAAGGAAA
Molecule: long non-coding RNA, 985 nt
Organism: Rhinolophus ferrumequinum (greater horseshoe bat)
Lineage: Eukaryota; Metazoa; Chordata; Mammalia; Chiroptera; Rhinolophidae
Exons: 4
Source: RefSeq, a predicted model, not a curated record